RNAcentral lists this ribosomal RNA (278 nucleotides) under uncultured prokaryote. RNAcentral describes it as "partial 16S ribosomal RNA". It matches the Rfam family "Bacterial small subunit ribosomal RNA", at positions 524 to 801 of the family's 1533-position model. The record is from RNAcentral.
UACGAAGGGUGCAAGCGUUAAUCGGAAUUACUGGGCGUAAAGAGCGCGUAGGUGGUUCGUUAAGUUAGGAGUGAAAGCCCCGGGCUCAACCUGGGAAUUGCUUCUAAAACUGGCGAGCUAGAGUAUGGUAGAGGGUGGUGGAAUUUCCUGUGUAGCGGUGAAAUGCGUAGAUAUAGGAAGGAACAUCAGUGGCGAAGGCGACCACCUGGACUGAUACUGACACUGAGGUGCGAAAGCGUGGGGAGCAAACAGGAUUAGAUACCCCCGUAGUCCCUGAG